AACGUUGUUGCAGUUAAAAAGCUCGUAGUUGAAUUGAAGUGAACUUGGGUUGAUGUAAUCUUCGGAUGACAUGAAUCAAAGUUGACUCUUUCCAAAGUCAAUACAUUGGUAUUCAUUUAUCUUUGUAUUGUGUUUGGUCAUUUACUGUGAGAAAAUUAGAGUGUUCAAAGCAGACGUUUGUUUGAAUACAUUAGCAUGGAAUAAUCAUAUAUGGCUUUCAUGUUGAUUUGAUUGGUUUGAAUAUGGAAGCAAGAUUAAAAGGGACAGUUGGGGGUAUUCAUAUUCAAUAGUCAGAGGUGAAAUUCUGGCAUUUAUGGAAG
This 320-nucleotide ribosomal RNA is filed under the name Blastocystis sp. RNAcentral's name for it is "SSU rRNA". It matches the Rfam family "Eukaryotic small subunit ribosomal RNA", at positions 606 to 934 of the family's 1831-position model. The record is from RNAcentral. Lineage: Eukaryota; Bigyra; Opalinata; Blastocystidae.